GAUGAAGAACGCAGUGAAAUGCGAUAACUAGUGUGAAUUGCAGAAUUCCGUGAAUCAUCGAGUCUUUGAACGCUCAUUGCGCCCCCUGGUAUUCCGGGGGGCAUGCCUGUCCGAGCGUCAUUGCUGCCCAUCAAGCACGGCUUGUGUGUUGGGUCGUCGUCCCCUCUCCGGGGGGGACGGGCCCCAAAGGCAGCGGCGGCACCGCGUCCGAUCCUCGAGCGUAUGGGGCUUUGUCACCCGCUCUGUAGGCCCGGCCGGCGCUUGCCGAACGCAAAUCAAUCUUUUUCCAGGUUGACCUCGGAUCAGGUAGGGAUACCCGCUGAACUUAAGCAUAUCAAUAAGCGGAGGA
Molecule: unclassified non-coding RNA, 349 nt
Filed under: soil metagenome
Description: partial contains 5.8S ribosomal RNA, internal transcribed spacer 2, and large subunit ribosomal RNA
Rfam family: 5.8S ribosomal RNA (bases 1-120)
Source: RNAcentral